AAUCAACGCUGGCGGCGUGCCUCAGACAUGCAAGUCGAACGCGAAAGUCCCCUUCGGGGGGGCGAGUAGAGUGGCGCACGGGUGAGUAACACGUAGGUAAUCUACCCCCGAGUGGGGAAUAACUCAGGGAAACUUGAGCUAAUACCGCAUAAUGCAGCGGCACCACAUGGUGACAGUUGUUAAAGCAUUUAUGCGCUUGGGGAGGAGCCUGCGGCAGAUUAGCUAGUUGGUAAGGUAAUGGCUUACCAAGGCUACGAUCUGUAACCGGCCUGAGAGGGCGGACGGUCACACUGACACUGAAUAACGGGUCAGACUCCUACGGGAGGCAGCAGUCGGGAA
This 339-nucleotide ribosomal RNA is filed under the name uncultured bacterium. RNAcentral's name for it is "bacterial SSU rRNA". It matches the Rfam family "Bacterial small subunit ribosomal RNA", at positions 32 to 361 of the family's 1533-position model. The record is from RNAcentral.